GACGAACGCUGGCGGCGUGCUUAACACAUGCAAGUCGAACGGAAAGGCCCUGCUUUUGUGGGGUUCUCGAGUGGCGAACGGGUGAGUAACACGUGAGUAACCUGCCCUUGACUUUGGGAUAACUUCAGGAAACUGGGGCUAAUACCGGAUAGGAGCUCCUGCUGCAUGGUGGGGGUUGGAAAGUUUCGGCGGUUGGGGAUGGACGCGCGGCUUAUCAGCUUGUUGGUGGGGUAGUGGCUUACCAAGGCUUUGACGGGUAGCCGGCCUGAGAGGGUGACCGGCCACAUUGGGACUGAGGUACGGCGCAGACGCCAACGGGAGGCAGCAGUGGGGAAUAUUGCACAAUGGGCGGAAGCCUGAUGCAGCAACGCCGCGUGCGGGAUGACGGCCUUCGGGUUGUAAACAGCUUUCGCCUGUGACGAAGCGUGAGUGACGGUAAUGGGUAAAGAAGCACCGGCUAACUACGUG
RNAcentral lists this ribosomal RNA (468 nucleotides) under uncultured bacterium. Its description in RNAcentral is "partial 16S ribosomal RNA". It matches the Rfam family "Bacterial small subunit ribosomal RNA", at positions 28 to 507 of the family's 1533-position model. The record is from RNAcentral.